Molecule: ribosomal RNA, 428 nt
Filed under: uncultured bacterium
Lineage: Bacteria
Description: bacterial SSU rRNA
Rfam family: Bacterial small subunit ribosomal RNA
Source: RNAcentral
GGGCCCGCACAAGCGGUGGAGCAUGUGGUUUAAUUCGAUGCAACGCGAAGAACCUUACCUACUCUUGACAUCCAGAGAAGCCAGCGGAGACGCAGGUGUGCCUUCGGGAACUCUGAGACAGGUGCUGCAUGGCUGUCGUCAGCUCGUGUUGUGAAAUGUUGGGUUAAGUCCCGCAACGAGCGCAACCCUUAUCCUUGUUUGCCAGCGAGUAAUGUCGGGAACUCCAGGGAGACUGCCGGUGAUAAACCGGAGGAAGGUGGGGACGACGUCAAGUCAUCAUGGCCCUUACGAGUAGGGCUACACACGUGCUACAAUGGCGCAUACAGAGGGCGGCGAACUUGCGAGAGUAAGCGAAUCCCAAAAAGUGCGUCGUAGUCCGGAUUGGAGUCUGCAACUCGACUCCAUGAAGUCGGAAUCGCUAGUAAUCG